UGGGGAAUCUUGGACAAUGGGCGAAAGCCUGAUCCAGCCAUGCCGCGUGAGUGACGAAGGCCUUAGGGUUGUAAAACUCUUUCGUCGGGGACGAUAAUGACGGUACCCGAAGAAGAAGCUCCGGCUAACUUCGUGCCAGCAGCCGCGGUAAUACGAAGGGAGCUAGCGUUGUUCGGAAUCACUGGGCGUAAAGCGCACGUAGGCGGAUAGUUAAGUCAGGGGUGAAAUCCUGGGGCUCAACCCCAGAACUGCCUUUGAUACUGGCUGUCUCGAGGUCGAGAGAGGUUGGUGGAAUUCCUAGUGUAGAGGUGAAAUUCGUAGAUAUUAGGAAGAACACCAGUGGCGAAGGCGGCCAACUGGCUCGAUACUGACGCUGAGGUGCGAAAGCGUGGGGAGCAAACAGGAUUAGAUACCCAAGUAGUCCCUGAGCGGGC
Molecule: ribosomal RNA, 434 nt
Filed under: uncultured bacterium
Lineage: Bacteria
Description: bacterial SSU rRNA
Rfam family: Bacterial small subunit ribosomal RNA
Source: RNAcentral